UCGUUAUCGCGGUAUUGGCAGCCAUCGCCGUUGCGGGGCGGGCGGCGUUUUUCAUGCUGCCGCAGUUCAAACCUGUGGUGGCGAUC
This 86-nucleotide transfer RNA is filed under the name Paenibacillus sp. CECT 9249. RNAcentral describes it as "tRNA-Ala". The record is from RNAcentral. Lineage: Bacteria; Bacillati; Bacillota; Bacilli; Caryophanales; Paenibacillaceae.